UGGGCGGUCGCCAAGUUGGUAAGGCACCGGGUUUUGGUCCCGGCAUUCGGGGGUUCGAAUCCUCCCCGCCCAG
Molecule: transfer RNA, 73 nt
Filed under: Bdellovibrionales bacterium
Lineage: Bacteria; Pseudomonadati; Bdellovibrionota; Bdellovibrionia; Bdellovibrionales
Description: tRNA-Gln
Rfam family: tRNA
About the family: Transfer RNA (tRNA) molecules are approximately 80 nucleotides in length.
Source: RNAcentral